Microcebus murinus (gray mouse lemur) is the source of this 5871-nucleotide non-coding RNA. NCBI's taxonomy places the organism in Eukaryota, Metazoa, Chordata, Mammalia, Primates, Cheirogaleidae. The record is from RefSeq and is a predicted model, not a curated record.
GCCUUUUCCGGGGUAGCUCCUGGGUGGGCGGGGCUUCCGGCCUUUUCCGGCUUCCUGGGAGCAGCUGCCCACACCCUUCCUCUCCGCCUCGCCAUGCUGCCUCCCUGCGUGUUCAAGGAACUCAGACGAAAGUCGAGGCUCUGUUGCCAAUGGCCAGUGAAACCACACUUCUUGAAAUGUUUAUUUUAAUAAAUGCCUGUGAUUAUGUUUCCGGAGCAUUUGGCUAACAGCUCCCAAACCAACAGGUUCCAGAGAGAUUCCUGGAAGUUGCACAGAUCACAUUACGGGAGUUUUUCAAUGCCAUUAUCGCAGGCAAAGAUGUUGAUCCUUCCUGGAAGAAGGCCAUAUACAAGGUUAUCUGCAAGCUGGAUAGUGAAGUCCCUGAGAUUUUCAAAUCCCCGAACUGCCUACAAGAGCUGCUUCAUGAGUAGAAAUUUCAACAACUCUUUUUGAAUGUAUGAAUAGUAGCAGUCCCCUUUGGAUGUCCGAGUUAUAUGUGUCUAGAUUUUGAUUUCAUAUGUAUGUGUAUGGGAGGCAUGGAUAUGUUCUGAAAUCAGCUGGUAAUUCCUCCUCAUCAUCUUUCCCUCCUUUCCUUUUGUUUUCCAUUGAAAGGGGAUGGUUAUGUUCCUUCCGCCUUUAGUUUACUUUUGCCCAAGGCCCUUAACAUUUGGAGACUUAAAAUAGGGUUAAUUUUCAGGGAAAAAAAAAAAAAGAAUGUUGGCGUGUGUAAAGUCUGUAUUAGCAAGGAAGGGCAUUUGCGAGCUAUGCGUCCGCUUAAUUGCUGGCCUAUUGCAAAUGGCGGUUGGCCGAGGAAAACCCAUGACACAGCACGACUCUACAGACGGUGAUGUGUCUCUUGUUUUUACUGCUAAGAAGGUCUGAAAAUUCAAUGAAACCACUUCAUACACUUAAAUAUCUUGUUUGGUUUGAAACGCAAUGAGUAGCUUUCUCUUACGUGUUUGAAAAUAAUGGCAGAUGAGCAGCUCACUUUGCAAAAGUUCCCCAAAAGGCCUAAAAGAAAAACAAUCACUAACUCUCAAGCCUUUCCUAAGAGAAAUGACAGGCGCCCCCCAAACUAGUACCAGUUUCUUAUGGAAGGCAAAGCAAUUUUGCACAAAACUGACUCUUUCAAGAUGAGACUGGAAAUUCAUACCUGAACUGGCCGCCUCUCUAAACUUCACAGUAGGUUCUUCUUUCAAAUAAGGGGGCUGAUAUCAUUCUUCAUAGAAAAGAAAAAAGAAAACCUAUAACUUGUUUUCACUUUCAAUUUAUUUUGCUUCAGAUAUUAAAAGGCACAUAAGUUUCAAAUUUACUCUGCUCAACGUUGUUUAUAUGCUUAACAGGAUUAUUAUUUCUAUUUAAUUAAUUAACAUCUUUAUUUUCCCCUAAAACACUGUUUUCUGAAUAUCUUUCUACAGUAAGGAAUAAAGGAAAUAUCCCAACUUGACCAUAAGAUUCUUGCCUACACUAGAAGUUUGUUAACAACUGUUGGCUGACUUGAUCUUCACAUAUGAGAAUAACCUAUUUUCAUAUACAAUUCCACACUACCCUUAUGGGUGUUCUAAGUGAUGACAGUCUAAUUAAGCAUUUCUACAUUUUAGAUAUAGCAUUUUAAAGCAACUGAUAAUGCCUCUUCUAAUUCAGAAGCUAGUAUUGACCAAAAUGUGAGAAGAGUGUAUAGCAUGAGAAAGUUUGGGGUUAACCCAAAAGACACAAUUUCAGCACACAUAAGAAAGCUAGCUGCUAUUUUAUGCUUUCUUCAAUGGUUCUCCUCUUUCUCCCUUUUUUUUCUUCCAGUUUUUCAAUGAUGUACAAUGUCCCAUACUUGCAUUUAGAAAAUCAUAUGGCAUUCACACUUGUUCUUUUCUUAGAUGGGUUUUUGUGUGCAGAUGCAGUAAGAAUUCAUUGUUCAUUCUAAUAGUGUUUUUUCCCAGACCCCUCUUUCCUCUUAGGUAAUUUGAUAUACACCUCCUAAAAUGACACAGUAACAAAUCUGGUAUUUAGAACAUAUAGAACAUAAAUGCCAUUUUCCCUUAAUUUUCAUAAAAAUUACAUUUGACUUUGGAAAGCACAGGUUUUGACCCAUGUGACUGUCUAGCUGACCCGAUUGCUGUAAAUUUAACGUCAUUUAUAAAUUCUGCUGAUGGACAGGAAUGUAUGAACGCAAUUAUUGUCAGCACAAAGCCUUAAAACCUGCUGACUUUAAAUUAAAUGGUGCGGUUCUGUGAUGCUCUGCUUCAUUCAGGAGAUGAGCAGGCCCUCUCGCUGUGGACAGGGUGUGCAGUGGCCCGGGCUGGGCACCGACAGCUUCUCUCUGCACCCGUGGCCACACACACAUCUCCCAGCUCACACUCUCCCACACAAUGCACGGUCAUUAGAGCCAAUUUGUUACUUUUCUGGCUUGCUUUAAAAAAAAAAAAAAAGUUUUUAUAAUUAUUACAUUGGAAUAAAGCGGGGACAAAAAUCCAAUCAGCACAAAGCAAGGAAGCAAUCACAACUGGUGUAGUCACACUCUUUUCGACUUUCUGCGUUUGAAAGAGUAUGACUUUCAUUGUUCAUGUCAGUACACACCUGGGUCUUUGCUAUUCCGUGUAAUUUUUAUCCACAUCGCGUUGCCAUUUGCAAGGUAAAAGGCAAAGCUGUAGUGUAUUCACCUAUGUAGGCAGAUUGCUAGGUAUCUUUUUGAUCUGGGGCAAGUUCAGUAUUGAUUCCAGACUUAUUUGGAUUUUUAGUCUUAUUUUCUCCUGCCUUUCUAAUUUAAGUAGACAAAUUAAGCAAAAGUAGGUGUUCACAACCAAAUGUGUUGAUGCAUUUAUCUACUGAUAAUACCCUCUCAAUGUUCACUGAGGCAUAGAAAUUAUUUCAGAGCAGAAAUUGCAGCAUGAAAAUAAACUCACUUCUUUGUUCUGAAAAUAGAACUCUUAUCACUUUGUUUUUAGGUGGUUUUUCCCCUUUUGCAAUCGUAAAAUCUUGUGCCUCCCAGUGCAUUGGCAAAUGGCAAAAGCCUGUCUCUCAAAACUCCUAUAGAACAGUUUUUUGUUUGUUUGUUUGUUUGUUUUUUAAUCACCAUCUUUCAAAUCUUAGCUCAACUCUCACCAAGUGAAAAUUGGCUACUUGGGAGAAAGUUAACUUUCUGUGGUGGGAGAGUGAAGAACGAGGGACAGUUUACAUAUGAAAAAACAAGUCUAAAGUCCAUGUUGAAAUACCACACAACCCCUUAUUUUCUGCUAACCCUAAAUUAUUUUUGCGUAUACACUUGAGGUUAUAGUCUGUGCCUAGACCUAAAAUGCACCAGCGGGGGGGAUUUUUAAAAAUCCUUCAAAAUACCAGUUUUUUCCCACAAGUACAAUUGUUCUCGUGCCUUCUGUGGCUUUCGAUUUCAUCUUUUUUGACUUUAUUUCCAAUUACUACAGCUGCAAUAAACACUAGAUUUUUUUUCUGGCUGUUUGACAUAACGUUGAUAGCUAUGCAUAUUUUGUGUCUUUUUAAAACAAAGCGGGAGAAUACGUUUUUGAAGAAGAGAAUUUUUAGAACAGUUUGAUACCGCAAAUUAUUUUUUCCUCAAUUGUUUGAGCAGCAUUCGAGUUUUGAAAAUUCUUGUAGAAGCCAAUUUUUUGUAACUGUGGUGCAAAUCUUGUGUUUUCUUAGCCUAAUGAAAAGUAGUAUAGAAGCAAUAUUUCAUACCAUGUGCUAUAUAUGUGUGUGCAGAUGUGUGAACAUAAAAACACAUACACACAUAUACACACAUGUAAAAAUAUACAUAUAUAUAUAUAUGCGUGUGAAGUGGAAAGCUUACCUUUUCCUAUCUAGAUUUAAGAACCUAUUUUAGACAUUUGUUAUGUUUUGUGAAAAGAAUGUUCUAUUUGCAACAAAACAUUUAAUUCUUACUGUAUCUCUGGCUGUUUAAUGAGGAUGUUUCACAUUAAAUGGUAAAACACGUGGAAGAUGUUAGAAUGUAGUAAUUAUUUAAGUAAAUGUUCACCCACAUAUUCCUGAAGUUUGCUUUGUGCCUCCACGAGUAUUAUUUAAUUAAAGUGUUUUAUGUUUGCAGAAUCUUUGUUACUGUACUAGAGGGAUGUGGGUGAAUAUGAUUUAAAAAAAAAUUUUUAAAACAACAAAAAAAAAGCAAAACAGAAACACUAAAGCAAGAGGGGAACUUUUAUAAAGCAAUGUAAAUAUUGAACCUCAUGGCUGUUGUUACAUAAGACAUGAGAUUUUAAUAAAUAACUACAUUCUCACAACAUCUGUUGAAUUUAUUAGGAACACUACAGUGACUGGAUAGACAGUUGAAAGCAUUCUUGGAAAUCCUGCUCUCUACUUUUAAAAGAUAACAGUCUCUUUUAUCACCUGUCAAGGACAAGGGUAAUGCAGUUUCUGUACAUUUAUGAAAUUUCUUUUCUAUGUACAUGAAGACAUUUAGUAAGUACCCCCCCAUCACACACAUACAGGUUAAUAUGAAGUCAUAAAGCUAAAGAUGUGGGGACAUUCAAAAUAGGAUGUCACCCAGAAACAAUCAUAAAUUCACGAAAGAAAAAGUGGUUUACAGACUCCCCUGAAAGAAACAGUGUAUAUGUGAAGACAAGUGCAGAAUCUCUUUGCCAUGUAUAUUAUAGCGUAUUCAUUGGUGUGAAUAGUACAAAUGUUUCCCUUCUGGUACAAACUCUGUGUUUGCAAAUUGCAAGAAGCAUUGUUUUCAAAAAGCUCCCCUUAAAAAAUGUAACUGGUUUAUAUGAGUAAGCAGUUACUGUAUUGCACUUAAAUGUUACGUUGAAGGAAAUGCAGUUUUGUUUUCUGUAGAUCUGUUGGUUGUAAACCAUCUAUAAAAACUAAAGCUAAAAAUGCUCAUAUUCAGAGCUGGGAUCAAAACUGGUAUUUAACCUUUGCAUCUUCUUAUAAUUAUCCUUCUAAGAAUAUAACAGAAUCUGGAAGCAUCUGGACUUUGAGUCUUUUCAACUGAGCCCUCUCUCAAAUCCAACAUCCUCCUGCCCCCAAAAUGCACACACAGGAACAGAAAAAGCAAACGAGCUGGCCUUCUUUUGUGAAAAUGUAUUCAUUCUGUAUUUUUUAAAUAUCUAAUUCCUCCACGUAGGGGGAUGAAGCAUUUUAAAAUUGUAUAUUACCACUUCAAAUUUAGAAGUAGAAGAAAAUGUAUUUGGGGUUGGUCUCAGCACUACCUAGAAGAAUCAAAGGUCGCGGCUUCCCUCAAUACUGUCCCAGCCAUUUCUCAUGUGUAUAUAGUACAAACCGUGACAAAACACUGCCUUUAUAUUAUUUAGCAAUAUGUUGUAAAUAGCAUUAUUAAGCUCUUUUUUUUUUGUAAUAAAGACCCUUUGAUUUGAAUAUAGGACAAUAACUGAACUGAUAAAGUCAAUUUUUGAUUCUUUUUUUUUUUUAGCUAGAGGCAAUUUCAAUUGUGGAUUUUUGUUGUUGUCUAUUGUUCUGAAGACUUUGCAUAAUUUAUUGGUUUAAUUUAUCCUAAUUUAUUUGAUGAAGGUGUACAAUUUUGUAUUACCAAGGAUGUACUGUAAUAUUAAUUGAUAUGAUAAACACAAUGAGACUCCCUGUCCAUAUUAAAAAGAAAAUAAAAAGGUGCAGUAGACAAUUGAUUUUAAAGUAAAAGUAAAAAAUUUAGUUUGGCAGCUACUAAAUUUCAAAACAGGAAAAAAAAAAGUUGUGGGGAGGGUGGGAAAGGGGUUUUACUUUGUGUGUUUUAAGCUUUUGUAUACUCUCCAAACUUUUACCUUUUGCUUUGUACCACUUAAAGGAUACAGUAGUCCAAUUGCCUUGUGUGCCUUCCAUCUCCUCUUAAACUGAAUGUAUGUGCAGUAUAUAUGCAAGCUUGUGCAAAAUAAAAUAUACAUUACAAGCUCA